UUUGAUGGCGACCGGCGCACGGGUGAGUAACACGUAUCCAACCUGCCGAUGACUCGGGGAUAGCCUUUCGAAAGAAAGAUUAAUACCCGAUGGCAUAGUUCUUCCGCAUGGUAGAACUAUUAAAGAAUUUCGGUCAUCGAUGGGGAUGCGUUCCAUUAAGUUGUUGGCGGGGUAACGGCCCACCAAGCCUUCGAUGGAUAGGGGUUCUGAGAGGAAGGUCCCCCACAUUGGAACUGAGACACGGUCCAA
This 249-nucleotide ribosomal RNA is filed under the name uncultured bacterium. RNAcentral describes it as "partial 16S ribosomal RNA". It matches the Rfam family "Bacterial small subunit ribosomal RNA", at positions 84 to 334 of the family's 1533-position model. The record is from RNAcentral.